Molecule: ribosomal RNA, 319 nt
Filed under: Listeria monocytogenes
Lineage: Bacteria; Bacillati; Bacillota; Bacilli; Caryophanales; Listeriaceae
Description: partial 16S ribosomal RNA
Rfam family: Bacterial small subunit ribosomal RNA
Source: RNAcentral
GCUACAAUGGAUAGUACAAAGGGUCGCGAAGCCGCGAGGUGGAGCUAAUCCCAUAAAACUAUUCUCAGUUCGGAUUGUAGGCUGCAACUCGCCUACAUGAAGCCGGAAUCGCUAGUAAUCGUGGAUCAGCAUGCCACGGUGAAUACGUUCCCGGGCCUUGUACACACCGCCCGUCACACCACGAGAGUUUGUAACACCCGAAGUCGGUAGGGUAACCUUUAUGGAGCCAGCCGCCGAAGGUGGGACAGAUAAUUGGGGUGAAGUCGUAACAAGGUAGCCGUAUCGGAAGGUGCGGCUGGAUCACCUCCUUUCUAAGGAA